UACGAGGGGUGCAAGCGUUGCUCGGAAUCAUUGGGCGUAAAGGGUAGGUAGGUGGUCUAAUUAGUCUGGGGUGAAAGCCUUGAGCUCAACUCAAGAAGUGCCUCGGAAACGGUUAGACUAGAGUCCUGGAGAGGGUCGCGGAAUUCCCGGUGUAGCGGUGAAAUGCGUAGAGAUCGGGAGGAACAUCAGAGGCGAAGGCGGCGACCUGGACAGGAACUGACACUGAACUACGAAAGCGUGGGGAGCAAACAGGAUUAGAUACCCUGGUAGUCCACGCUGUAAACGAUGAGCACUAAACUUAGUGGGACUUGACCCCUGCUGAGUUGUAGCUAACGCGCUAAGUGCUCCGCCUGGGAAGUACGGUCGCAAGACUAAA
Molecule: ribosomal RNA, 376 nt
Filed under: uncultured bacterium
Lineage: Bacteria
Description: bacterial SSU rRNA
Rfam family: Bacterial small subunit ribosomal RNA
Source: RNAcentral